GGGAAACUGCCUGAUGGAGGGGGAUAACUACUGGAAACGGUAGCUAAUACCGCAUAACGUCGCAAGACCAAAGAGGGGGACCUUCGGGCCUCUUGCCAUCAGAUGUGCCCAGAUGGGAUUAGCUAGUAGGUGGGGUAACGGCUCACCUAGGCGACGAUCCCUAGCUGGUCUGAGAGGAUGACCAGCCACACUGGAACUGAGACACGGUCCAGACUCCUACGGGAGGCAGCAGUGGGGAAUAUUGCACAAUGGGCGCAAGCCUGAUGCAGCCAUGCCGCGUGUAUGAAGAAGGCCUUCGGGUUGUAAAGUACUUUCAGCGGGGAGGAAGGUGUUGAGGUUAAUAACCUCAGCAAUUGACGUUACCCGCAGAAGAAGCACCGGCUAACUCCGUGCCAGCAGCCGCGGUAAUACGGAGGGUGCAAGCGUUAAUCGGAAUUACUGGGCGUAAAGCGCACGCAGGCGGUCUGUCAAGUCGGAUGUGAAAUCCCCGGGCUCAACCUGGGAACUACAUUCGAAACUGGCAGGCUAGAGUCUUGUAGAGGGGGGUAGAAUUCCAGGU
Molecule: ribosomal RNA, 559 nt
Filed under: uncultured bacterium
Lineage: Bacteria
Description: bacterial SSU rRNA
Rfam family: Bacterial small subunit ribosomal RNA
Source: RNAcentral